Molecule: transfer RNA, 74 nt
Filed under: Sparassis crispa
Lineage: Eukaryota; Fungi; Basidiomycota; Agaricomycetes; Polyporales; Sparassidaceae
Also listed under: 2 other names
Description: tRNA-Lys
Rfam family: tRNA
About the family: Transfer RNA (tRNA) molecules are approximately 80 nucleotides in length. Their secondary structure includes four short double-helical elements and three loops (D, anti-codon, and T loops).
Source: RNAcentral
GCCCGCCUAGCUCAAUCGGAUAGAGCGUCAGACUCUUAAUCUGAAGGCUGUGGGUUCGACCCCCACGGUGGGCU